This is a non-coding RNA of Glycine soja, 107 nucleotides long. The record is from Rfam. NCBI's taxonomy places the organism in Eukaryota, Viridiplantae, Streptophyta, Magnoliopsida, Fabales, Fabaceae.
AUCUGGUGGUGAGGACAACUGGCACAUAGUUUCUUGAAUCUCUCCUAGUAUUCAUAUAAGCUCUCUUCACUGAGUUGCAAAAUUCCUGAAAUAUCUUUUUUGAUGGU